GUAGGGAAUCUUCCACAAUGGACGAAAGUCUGAUGGAGCAACGCCGCGUGAGUGAAGAAGGUUCUCGGAUCGUAAAACUCUGUUGUGAGGGAAGAACAAGUACCGGAGUAACUGCCGGUACCUUGACGGUACCUCAUUAGAAAGCCACGGCUAACUACGUGCCAGCAGCCGCGGUAAUACGUAGGUGGCAAGCGUUGUCCGGAAUCAUUGGGCGUAAAGCGCUCGCAGGCGGUCCCUUAAGUCUGAUGUGAAAGCCCACGGCUCAACCGUGGAGGGUCAUUGGAAACUGGGGGACUUGAGUGCAGAAGAGGAAAGCGGAAUUCCAAGUGUAGCGGUGAAAUGCGUAGAGAUUUGGAGGAACACCAGUGGCGAAGGCGGCUUUCUGGUCUGUAACUGACGCUGAGGCGCGAAAGCGUGGGGAGCAAACAGGAUUAGAUACCCCAGUAGUCC
Molecule: ribosomal RNA, 450 nt
Filed under: uncultured bacterium
Lineage: Bacteria
Description: partial 16S ribosomal RNA
Rfam family: Bacterial small subunit ribosomal RNA
Source: RNAcentral